This 520-nucleotide ribosomal RNA is filed under the name uncultured Glomus. Its description in RNAcentral is "SSU rRNA". It matches the Rfam family "Eukaryotic small subunit ribosomal RNA", at positions 569 to 1091 of the family's 1831-position model. Lineage: Eukaryota; Fungi; Glomeromycota; Glomeromycetes; Glomerales; Glomeraceae. The record is from RNAcentral.
AGCAGCCGCGGUAAUUCCAGCUCCAAUAGCGUAUAUUAAAGUUGCUGCAGUUAAAAAGCUCGUAGUUGAAUUUCGGGACUAAUAUGUCGGUCGUGCCUCGGUACGUACUGGUAUUUUGGUUUCUCCCUUCUGACGAACCUUGAUGUCAUUAAUUUGGUGUCUUGGGAAAUCAGGACUGUUACUUUGAAAAAAUUUAGAGUGUUUAAAGCAGGCUCACGCUUGAAUACAUUAGCAUGGAAUAAUGAAAUAGGACGUUUGAUCCUAUUUUGUUGGUUUCUAGGAUCGACGUAAUGAUUAAUAGGGAUAGUUGGGGGCAUUAGUAUUCAAUUGUCAGAGGUGAAAUUCUUGGAUUUAUUGAAGACUAACUACUGCGAAAGCAUUUGCCAAGGAUGUUUUCAUUAAUCAAGAACGAAAGUUAGGGGAUCGAAGACGAUCAGAUACCGUCGUAGUCUUAACCAUAAACUAUGCCGACUAGGGAUCGGAUGAUGUUAAUUUUUUAAUGACUCAUUCGGCGCCUUAC